RNAcentral lists this long non-coding RNA (1101 nucleotides) under Homo sapiens (human). Its description in RNAcentral is "HSALNT0394200". Lineage: Eukaryota; Metazoa; Chordata; Mammalia; Primates; Hominidae. The record is from RNAcentral.
GCUUUCUAGGAUAAGAACACAACAGUAACAGCACAACAAUCGACCUCUUGGUGAUCAAUGCUCUUGAAACGCUAAUAGACCUUCUUUCAAAAUAAUGCAUAAUGCAGCAUUCUUAAUUGUUAAUGCAGCAAAAGGCAAGACUAAAGAGGGCUGGGGAAAAAUUCUUUAACGUGCAACUGAGUUAGCCCCUAAGGCCCAGACAAAAAAAUGUGACCUAAAUGUAUCGUUACCAGGUAUUAUUUAAUAUUUAUAUAGUGCCUCAAAUGGAUCCAGCCCAACAUCAGAGUGUGCCAGAGAAAUAAAAGCCUGAGCCCUAAGGAGUUUAUCAUCUGCAAGCAAAGUCGAUCCAAAUCAGAACACCCACGGAGGAAUGAGUUGAGUGAGGGAUGAUUUGACCAAAAAACGCAUUGCCAAGUGUAAAGCGGCACCAAGAACAGGCGCCAGGCUCCAUCUGCUGUGAAAAGGAGCUUAUUCUUCGUGAAGAUGCCCAUUGCAUUACGGGGGCAGCUUGGAUCUUAUUCUAAGUGUCUCAAGCUUCUAUCAGCUCAUGGAUCCACACAUCUGUGUAUCUCACUGUCGGUGUGGUGUUUGAUUUUCUGGUGGCCAUGGAACUCUCCGUUGUAAAGAAAAACAUCUUCUCUCAGCAAGUAGGCAAAACUACCAGCAAGUGUGAGCUGCUGGUGUACAGCAAGUGUGAAAUGCAGCAAAGACUCACAGACCUCAGAGUUUGGUCCACUGGACCCAGGCCCACUGCUGGAUAAAAGGUGCAGCACCCACUGGCCACUUCCACGGUUUACAUCUUGCUUCAAGGCCUUGUGCCCGAUCAGCUGAGCCCCUGUGCCAACCCUCAGUCUAAUUACAGGAGUAAGAACAACCCUACUACCAUGAGGACACAAUGAGCCUAAUCCAGAAAGUGUGGACAUCCUGCAAGACAAUCCCUCUGGCAGGCAAUAAGUCAAUGACAAGUGGAGGAAAAGAAAAAAAAAAGAGGCUGAGGCAGGCGGAUCACUUGAGGUUAGAAGCUGCUAAGACAAAUACGAGAUCUUCUGAGCGUGCCAGCCCAUCCAUCUGCACCAGUAACUCUGUCUUCAUCCGCAGGCU